This 285-nucleotide unclassified non-coding RNA is filed under the name plant metagenome. RNAcentral's name for it is "partial contains small subunit ribosomal RNA and internal transcribed spacer 1". The stretch from base 1 to 54 matches the Rfam family "Eukaryotic small subunit ribosomal RNA", at positions 1778 to 1831 of the family's 1831-position model. The record is from RNAcentral.
GGAAGUAAAAGUCGCAACAAGGUUUCCGUAGGUGAACCUGCGGAAGGAUCAUUAUUGUAUAACCGAGGUGCGAGGGCUGUCGCUGACCCGAAAGGUCGUGCACGCCCGAGUGCCCUCACACACAUCCAUCUCACCCCUAUGUGCACCACCGCGUGGGUCCCCCUUUGGCUUGUUCGGAGGGGGGCUUACGUUUUCACACAAACUUUGUAUGCAGUGUAGAAUGUAUUUUUUGUUUUUGCGAUCACGCAAUCAAUACAACUUUCAACUACGGAUCUCUUGGCUCUC